Molecule: long non-coding RNA, 16379 nt
Filed under: Ananas comosus (pineapple)
Lineage: Eukaryota; Viridiplantae; Streptophyta; Magnoliopsida; Poales; Bromeliaceae
Description: long non-coding RNA (ACOM_LNC012769)
Source: RNAcentral
GUUUCUGCCUCUGCCUCUGCCGCCUUCUUCGGAAAGAAAAAGAAAAAGAACAAGAGAAAAAAAAAAAGAAAAAAAAAAUGGAGAUCGAAAAAUAAUUACGAUAUUUUGAUCAGUUUACUAAAAAUUUUGGACCGAAUUUGCCGAAUCAAGAAAAGGGACACAAUUUUGCAAAAGCUUAAAACUAACCGUUGAUUGAUGGAAUGUGUGGUUAGGAUAAUGGUAGUCCCCACUUAAAAUGAGAGUGGUUCUCUAGGGUUGAAUGAGUAGUUGGUUCAAUAGUAUGAUCUAACGGAUGGAAAUGAUCAAUGAAAUAAAUCUAAGAGCCGAAAACUUAUGAGUAUAAGGGAACCAAUACUCAUAAAAGUAUAAUAGCCGGACUCUAUAUAUAUAGUAUUUUAUUUUUAUAUAAAAAUAUUAUUAUAUAAUAUUUUAUAUAUAAAUUUAUAAUUAUUUAUUAGUAUUCCUAAAUAUAUAACUCUUAUAUAUUAUAUAAUAUAUUUAUUAUAAUUUUAAAUAUAUUUAAUCUAUAAAUAAAAAAUAUAAUAAUAAUUUAUAAACUUAUCAAUUGUCAACCAUUUCAGACGCUCUCCGGUUUUGGGGGGAGCCAGUGGGGCCCAACUUUUUUUUUCCUUCCUCUCUCUCACACUUUAUAAAUAUUUAUUUAUUUGUAAUUUAUAUUUACAAAUAAAUAAAUACACUAAUUUGGAAUCCAAAUUUUUUUUUCCUUUAUUUUGGGGACUUGUAGGGUGACAUCAAUUUUUUAAAAAAUUAAUUACACAUUGGGCCCUAACCUUUUAGCUCUUUUUUAUUUUGGUUCCUUUUUUUUUGAGAGAGAGAUAGAUAGCAUGCUACCCGCUUCGUUUUUUUUAUUUUUUUAUUUUGAUUCAUAAUUUCUAAACUUUACAUAUUUUUCACAUUAGUUUACAAACAAUUUUUUAAAAUUUAAUUUAUAUAAUAAUAUAAUAUGUGAUACUUGAAUUUUUUUACAGUGUACAAAGUAUUCAUUUUGAUUUCGAAUGUUUUUUUAUUAGUUUUAUUUUUUGUGCUUCUGAUAAUUAUAUACUGAUAUUUUUACUAAUUUAAAAUUUAGAAAUAAAAUAUUUUCUUAGUUGUAUGUGUAACGAUAAAAGUUAAUGAUGGCACAAUAAAAACGUUGCCGCCAAAAAUACUAAAGAUAAUGCUUUCACUCUACUUAAUUUUUUUAUUUUUUUUAUUUCUACCCCGAUGAUAAUAGAAAAAUAUUAUUUAUCUUUUUUAAUAUUGUAAUAAUUUUUUUAUUAAACUGAUUUAUUCAUUUUACUUAUUAGAUUUAAAUAUUUUUAGAAAGAAAUAUAUUUUAAUUUUUUCUUUAAUUUAUUCUUUACUUUUUAAUUAUUCAAUAUUGAGAUAAAUAAUAUUUAAAAAUUUUAAUAUAUAAAAGAAAAAAUUGAUGUUGAUAUAGUUAUAAUAAUUUACUAUUAUAUUGUCUUCCCGUCGCAUUCCGCGGGAUCCCUUAACUAGUAUAUAUAAUAUAACAAUUAAUAUAUAUUAAUAAUAAUAUAUGUAAUAAUAAAUAUAUUAAGUAGGUCUUUAAUUUUAUUUUUAUUUUUCUUUUAACCAAACCAUCGUCAUAAAAAAAUAUAUUUUUUUUUCUACAAACCAAACGUAAAAAAAUUUUGCCACCAAAAAUUUUUCCACCGAAAAUUUUUUUUUCUACAGUUUUAUAUAGAACCAAACACACCCUAAGUUAUCGUUUGGUUUGGGAAUAAGCAAAAAGUGGCAAUUUCAGGUAUUGAGCAUUUAGGCACCUUCAACUUCAUUUUCAGUGCUUGAGUACUCUUUAACAUUUAGUCAUUUUAUUCGAGUUUUUUUCCUGCAUUUAGAUCAAAAUUUUGUUAAAAUUCACAGCUCCAUUAUCUGUAAAUCGUUAAAUGUCGCAUAAUUAAUUCAUAGUUCACACUUUCAUCGGAUAAAAAACAUUGAAAACAAUAUAAAUUCAACAAAAAAUCAAGACUUUUUUCAAUUUAAUCUUUUAAAAAUUUAUGCUUGACUAAAUAAUUAUGUAAAAAAUUUAUUUGGCUAAAUAACUCUAUUUUUUUUCAAAUCAGGAUGGACUGAAAAAAUAAUUAGAAGACUGCCAAUUAUUUAUAGCCUUUAAUAAAAUUUAAAAGACAGAUAAAUAAUUCACUAUCUUUAUCUUAUCUAUUAAAGAAGAUAAACGAUCUGCUUUUUUUGACUCAAAUAAGAAUACGUCCAAUGAUUUGUAGUUUCUUUCGACCAAUUAUAUAACAACAAUCUAAAAUAUUCUAAUAAUAUAUUCAUACAAUUUUAAUGAUUUGUAGUUUCUUUCAACCAAUUAUAUAACAACAAUCUAAAAUAUUAUAACAAUAUAUUCAUACAAUUUUAAUCCUCUAAUAAAAGUCCGAACAAUUCUAGUAUAUAUAAUGUUAAAACCUAACAGAGACCCUCACAAGUUAUUAAAAUAAUAAUAAUAAUAAUAAUAAUUUAACAUGAUGAAUUAUUUAUCGUUUUUUAAAAACGAUGAAACGUUUUACCGCAUUUCUCAUAUUGACAAAGAGAGAGUUAAUUAGUCAUAAAAUUUUGGAAAGAUUAUUUGAUAAAUUAAAAACGUUAUGAAGUAGUUGUUAAAAAAGUCCGAAAGGUCAUGAACCCGAAUCGGAAUCCGAUGGUAAAAAAUCCUAAUCCAUAUGUGAUGAUUAUCCGGUAAUAUUCGGGUUCGGAGCAAGAAUGGGUUGGAUAAAACCCGCAUUCAGCUUGUAUAAAAGCCCUGCCUAACCCUAGUAACCGGCGAUCGCUUGUUUACCUUCGCACUUGUGCCUACUAGCGUUCAUUCACCAGCGGCAGACCUUCGCGUCCAAGGCAUUCCGAUCCGGCGAGAGAUCGCAAAAGGUAUUCGUUCUCUCGCAUGCGAGAUCUUCACACCGUUGUGUUGAUUUGAUUUUGUAUUGAUCUUUUAACUUUGCGUUUAGAUUGUGGCGAUCGAGAUUGAGCUUUCCAGUUCUUGGAUCUAUUCGUUUUCAUGUGGUUUCUCGAUUCAUUAUGCGUUUUCUUUUUCGUCUGUGGCACGAUUUUGGGGGUUUCACCGGCGAUGGCGAUGGGUUUCCUCGAAUCUGAUCUACUUGGUUUUUUCUCCGAAUCAACUUAGGGAUUUCUCUGACCGAUUGGCUUCACUGUCCAUCGGAUAUAGUGUUUUGUCAUAUUUGGAGUCGAUCGUCUAUGAUGAAUUGAUGAAGGGUGGAUCAGUCGAUGGAAACUUCUGUUUCCCCCCUAGAUCGUAACGAGUUCUGUACUCUUAUAUAAAUUUAUGGCAUCUUUUCUUCUGGUUCUCCCGAGUGGCAUUUGCACUCGAUGGUCUGUGUAUGAUGUUUUCUUAUGCAGGGCUUUUCUAUUCUUCCUCUAUGUCAUGCGAGUGGUCUUUUUUUCAAAAAAAAAUAUUUUGGCUUGCUGAUAUGUUUUUAUCUUUGACCUGAUUUUGUUGCUUAAUUUGGUUUAGCAUAGGUCGUUUGUCGGUCCAAUCUCUUUUUUUUUUUUUUUUUUUUUUUUUUUUUUUUUUUUUUUUUUGUCUACUAGACUACCAGCGAAGAAGUUAUUUGUCUGUCUCAGGGGCAAUAUGGCGACCACCGUGAAGAACAGCUCCAGCCAGCUGAGCGACGAGACCUUGCGCCUUAUCCACCAAAAUUGGAUGAGGAGGUAUGAUUUUGAGUAUGAAGACGAGGAGGAGGAGGAGAAACGCUUCAAAAUUUUCAAAGCGACAUUUGAAGAGAUUGAGAAAUACAAUACAGAGGAGGAGGCUCCCCUGCUCAUACUAAGCCGCUAUUCAGAUCUCACCGAUGCGGAGUUCUUCGCCUUGCGUUCAACUAUACAGGGAGAGCUGCCGAAAGAUAUGCGGGAUGAUGUCUCUUUACGCCCUCAUAGACAAGAGGACUGUGAUGCCUGCGUCCUGCAUAAGAGAGGUCGCAAGUCGUAGAUGGGAUCUCUAGAGAGAAAUGGUACCUCUAGAGAAAAAUGGGCAGUGUUAUAUUUCUAGUGUAGUGGGUAGUUUGCUAUUGUCUGGAAAGUCUAAUGCUGCUACUUAGGAUCUUUUCUUUCUCCUUUUUAGGAAGGGUCUCUGUUGGGUCUCUUUCAUUUCAUUUCUUUGAUAGUAAAGGAACUUCUAUCCUUAUGACCUUAUGAUUAGCGUCCUGUCAUAUUAAUUUAGUUUCCGUGGACUAAUCGUGUCAUUGUUCUUGUGCUUAAGCACUGCCCAAACAUAUUAUCUAUUAGUGAUGGAACUGGUUUUUGCAGUUUUCUAUGAUUAUCUCUUAUUCUAUUAUAUCAACAAUAUGAAUCUUCUAGUGAUGCUGAUGGAAGAGCAGCAGAAUGACGUAUCUUAAUGAUGAUAUAUAUUAAUUAAGAGGUAUGAAAGUGGAUGGAGAGUUUUUUAGAUAAGGGAAGUCCAACUCAGGUAUGACACACAACGGUUGCGCACACAGUUUUUUAUGAUGAGAUGUUCUCUGGAAACCCAAAUAUUUUAUGGGCUAAUUGUUCUUUGUGGAGUAAUCGUUAUGCUUAUUUGUGCCUGUAGAUUUUUUUUAUGAGGUUCUGAUGCAGUUUUUUUUUUUUUUUUUUGAGAAUAAUUCUGAUGCAGUUUUUGAUAGUAAGUUCUAUACUUUGAUAGUAAGAUAGUAUCUUACUAUCAAAGUAUCUAUACUAUAUAUCUAUAGUAAGAUAAUUUUAUUUAUAAAUAUUUAUUUUUUAUUAUAUAUAUAGUAUUUUAUUUUUAUAUAGAAAUAUUAUUAUAUAAUAUUUUAUUUAUAAAAUUGUAAUUAUUUAUUAAUAUUUUUAAAUAUAUAACUCUUAUAUAUUUAUGUAAUAUAUGUUAUUAUAAUUUUAAAUAUAUUUAAUCUAUAAAUAAUAAUAAUAAAUAUAGUAUAAUGAUUAUUAUAAAUUAAUAAUAUAUAUAAUAAAAAAUAUAUUAAAUAGUUUUUUAUUUAGUUGUUUAGAAAAUUUUAUUUUUUUCUACAAAUAAAAAACUAAACGACAUAAAAAAAAUUUCCACCAAAAAAUUUUUAUUUUUCUCUACAAUUUUACGUGAAAUAAAACACACCGUAAAAUUAAAUUUACAAAAAGCGACGAAGAAGAAUACCAUGUUUGCUCCCUACCACAAAAACAUGCGAAAACCAAGUCUUUUUUUUAUUAUUUCACUCUCACAAGCCACAAACAAAAUGAAAAGUAGGAUUAGGAAAGAGAGAUAAGGAAAAGCAAAUCGGGUGAGUGUGUCGUGAGCCAACGAUUUCCAUUCUGUUGCUCUGCUGCACAGCUAGCUGGAUUCGGCCAUGGCGACGGUGCCUUCGUCUCUUUCCUGCACCCUCCGCACCUCCUUCCUCCUCUCCUCUCACCCUCCGGCUAAGCUCUCCUCCGUCCCCCUCCUCAAAUCCCGACGCCCCACUCCGCCCUCUUCCUACCCCCGCGUAAGAGCCCUCGAUCUCGACCAGAACACGGUACCUUCUCUCUCUCUCUCUCUCUCUCUCUCUCUCUCUGUAAUUUCCAAUGUAUGUUUCCUAUGUGGGAUCGAUGAUUGUACCUGAGAAACGCCCCCUUAGUUUCCCUUGCCUUACCUUAAAAUGACAGCUCGUGGCCAUCUCCGUCGGAGUCGUCAGCGUUGCCGUGGGCAUCGGGAUUCCCGUGUUCUACGAGACCCAGAUCGACAAUGCUGUACCAAUUCCCUUCCCCCUCUUCUCUCUCUCUAUUAGGGGUUUCUCUCUAUAUUAGGGCUUUCUAUGGGUUUUUUCUUUUUUUUUUUUUUUUUGUAGGGGCGGGCAAAUUACAUUCUUGUGUAUGCGCAGGCUAAGCGGGAGAACACGCAGCCGUGCUUCCCGUGCAAUGGCACCGGUGCGCGUAAGUUGCUCCACCCAUCACUCCCCCCUCCUGUUGGUUUCUUCUUCAUAUGAACGGUUGUUCUCUUCCCUGCCUGUUGCUUAUAAUUAGUUUGCUGGAUAGUUAGUACUACCGUAAAGGCGUGUAAACACAAAUGCAGUGAUAAUGAUUGUAACUUAUUCUGAAUUUUGGUGCAAUUUGUUCCAAGUCGAUGAAGUAAUAGUUUAUAAAUGAAAAAAAACAAAAAUGGAAGAUUUGGGCCGCUCUGUCGCAGUUCGAAAAACAGAACAUAACCUCCUGGGGAGUGGGGAGAAUCAGCUGCAAAAUGGGACACUUUUAUAUCACCAAUCAUCUCUUUAUUGUAAACUUCAAGUUUGUCAGUUACGUUUUUCAACGCCUCAUUAGCAAUAUUUUUGCGUAUUUUGAUACUUUUGAGAUUCAAAGUCGGCUUUCGAAACUAGCGAAAGGUUCAUAGUAAGAGCUCUGUUUGCUGAGCCGCGAGUAGAGACUCAAAAUUGAAUUGGAAAUAUAUAUUGCUUUUGUUUUUGCAGAGACGUGUAGAUUGUGCACGGGCAAAGGCAGUGUAACUGUAGUGCUUGGCGGAGGUGAGACAGAGGUGUCGCAAUGUAUCAACUGCGAAGGUGCUGGCUCCUUGACUUGCACCACAUGUCAAGGCACUGGAAUCCAACCGCGCUAUCUCGACCGCAGGUAAUAACAUUACAUUAUUUAUAACAUGUUUUUUUUUGUCUGAGUAAUGAUCGAUGCUGUAAGAGCUAUGCUGUAAGAGCUGUUAAUUUUCCAAUCAUUUUAGAGUAAAUUGUGUUGGGGGGUCCCCAACCUCUCAAUUGGUACAGUGAGAUCUCUAACCUUUUCAUUCCUCACAAUCGUAACCGUUUUGUUACAUUUCUUUUCUUGUGUUAAAUUAAAUGAAAAUGCCCAAAUACUUGGACAUUUCAUAAGUCCAAAAAUCGCUUCCGCAAGAGCGUGAUGCGGCUAUGCGGAGCGGUCGAUAUUUCUGUCCAAUUUAAACCAAAAGGAUGGGUAGGAUUGCAACAAAUGCAAGAAUCAGGGACCUAACUGUAUACAUGUACCGAACUUCAUAGUUGGGGGAUCAACUGAAACUAUUGCAGAUGGCUGGUGAGACAUUCCUUUUUGUUCUUACCUAAAAUUGUAGAUGGAUUACAACUUAAUGAUAUAGCUAAAAUCUAUCAUUUAUUAGCUCUAAAAUUAGAAUGUAAUGGUAGCCUUAUUCUUUGAAUUCACUUAACAGGGAGUUCAAGGAUGAUGAUUGAAGCCUUUCCCUCUUGACUGAUGUCCUGAAUAGAGAGACUGAAUAUGUUUUUCAUGUGGGCCCAUGGGAUGUGAAGCAAACAUGGAAAGGGGUCCUCUACUAAAUAAGGAAUAUCAUAUUUUAGGAUCGUCUUAAAUCAUUCAUUUUUUGGCACGAAUGUAAAGAUACUGAGUUGGUGUUUCAGUAGAUAUUUAUUUGUUUUGUAUUGCUGCUUGAAUUUUAAUGACCUGUUCUGUGGUACAACCUUAAGACAUACUAAAUGAGUAAGCAAUGUAUUUGCAUAUUGCUGGGGUAAGUGAUGUAUGUGAUCAUUUAACAGUAAACUCAUUUAUGCUUUCUACACCAUUUUACUAAGCAUUUUAAUUGGCUGGUUACAAAUUUUCAAGUAUAUUAUUUAAUGUACGAGUAUGUAAUUAUAGUUAGUAUCUAGAGAGAACUACUAAGAAAGCGCCCUCGAUGUGUAAGGUUAUAGAAGCUUGGUCGGAAAGGAAUAAGAUAUUUGACAUUCACAUCUUUUUAGAAUAAGAUAAAUCUCAAGGCAAGUGAAAUACACUAUGCAACCUAAUUAUAGUUUUCAAGACCUUCCAAUGAGUCAAAUUCCUUGCAAUCACCAAAAAAAACCUUACAAGUGCAUUAGUUCACAUGGCAUAAACUGUACUGGCAUUCCAGACAACUAAUAUGAGUGGUGCUUCUUGUGGAAGCACUACAAUUAUCCACCAAACAACAACUACUCUGCAAAAGCACCAAAUUAAAGCAUUUGAGGGGAAAAAAAUAUAUAUCUUAUUUCAGCUUCUGUAUGCAACAGAAAUUCUAUACUAAUUUGUUUGCCACAUGCUCGAACGAAAAAGGCCACAACUACAAGCGAAAUAGCACCCAUUACUAGCCUAUGUGUCAUAUUGCUGUCAAGUACAUAGCACAGUUAAUCCAACCCCAGUUUAUAAACCCAAUACGUGUAUUGGACUGUGAUGAACGACACAGUAACUUAAAAUAAGAAGCUGCACACAGAAGAUGAAGACAUAUGGAAGGACAAUAAAUAGGAGCUUCUUCAAAAGUACUUAUCAAGUAAAGACCUUCCGAGAAGCACCUACUUUUCCAUUAAAAUCUGCUCACUUAUUGUCCACAGCAGUAGAAGCACAAGUGUCGCUUUACUUGGUAGUUCCAACAUUUUGUUCAUCGGUUUGAAACAUUAGAAAGAUCAGGCUUAACUAUCAGAAACAUCAAAGAUCUACAUAAGAAUCACAUUCAAGUAUUCAUAAUCCACAUGCUAAUCAAGUACAUGGAAGAAAAGUUUUCAUCACAAACUCCCAAAACUCAGUUUGUACAGGUUCAGUAACAAUUCUUGGUCUUGGCGUUCCUAGUACUAGAGCAUCCUAUACAGCAGCUAUAAGUACAGAAUACAGAAAACCAACUGGUGACUUAACACACUAAUUAAUUCUUUUUUAUUAACUUUACUAAUUCAGGAAAACCUCAAUAAUGCGAGAAUGGUAGUUUGAUAAUUUUCAGCAGCAGGAGAAUUCCGAUUUAACUCCCAAUAUAAUACUCACCACGAAUGUAAGACCCCCAAAAAAAAGGAAGAGGAAAAGCAAUAUCAAGUAGGAAAACCUCACAAACCAAAACUCUCAAUUCAGCAGCACAUACAAGCUAUGGCACACUACCAGUGUGAGCAGCUGCGUCUUUCUGAGUUUUACACCUGCAACAAAAGAAAUAGCUUUACUUACCAAGAGAUGAGCAUAUUCAAAUGGCUAUCCUUGCAUGGUACGGUAUAUGCAAUAUAGACCAAUUCAAUUGUCCCUCUAUUUCAUAUUAGUUAAAAAUAAAAAAUAAAAAAAAUUCUGCCAGUUGGUACUAAUCCUAGUAUCUUUGAUUGUUCAAAUACUAUCAUAUGUCAACUAUUUUAUUAAGAGACCAAAUUAAACACAUCAUAAGCCCAGUCUGAAGAUAAUACUCAUACCUAUUGCAAUAUGUUCGCGAUGCAAAAUUGUGAUUGUUGCAAUUACUGCACAUCCAGUCCCCAUCACGCCAUUGUUUCGCACUGAUAAACAGAAAAAUUAUUUAGUAGGGAUCACCAUUCAAUAUUUUCAAAAUGAGAAGAAAAUCUUUUAAGGAUAGAAAGGUUCUUUCUGAAAAGUGUCACAAGUGGCUAUACAUACAAUACAGAAAAUUGAAAUCCUGGUGUUGCAAAAUGGGAUGUCCGACGAAUUUACCACAAAUUAAUCAGGAAAAGUGGUUUGAAGAUACAUAGAAUUCUUUUUUGUACAUAAAUGAAAAAGAAUAUGCAACAUAUGUAUUGGAUAUAUAUAUAAGAUUAAUAAAUAUUUAAGGGCUACAAAAUGUAUAUAUUAUGGAAAUGACAAAUGACAUUUUAGACAUCAAUUAUUAACAGAAUGCCAUAUACAAAUUCUCAUGAUGCAUUAUUGCAACUGUGCAAGCCUAUAUACUUACAAGAUAAAAGAGGAUUGAAAGCAUGCCAUUCACAUAUGCAACUAAGAAUCCACAAGAAUGCAUAUAGGCAUUUAUACUUGUGUUUUUAUGUCUAUCACUCUAUUGCAUGCAGCAGAUACCAUAACAGCAUAAGCACACGGAUAGACAUAAUUAUAUUAGAAGAAUAUCAUAAAUACAAAAAGAUUGGCAUACCCUUUUCCUAUGAGUGCAGGCAAUGUUGCAACUUGUCGAGACUGUUGGUUUACUUGUAUAGAUGGCACUGUUGCUGAGUUUUCAUUAGCCUUGGGAUAAAUCCCCGGUGUCUGAUCACUGUUGGAUCCGGCUGAAUUCUUGAAAUCCUAAAAAUGAAAACAGCAUUGUAAGAGUUUUCCAAACUGCAGAAUAAAUGAAUAAUAUAAAUAGAAAAAAUAGCAAGUCGAAUUAUACCGAAAACUGGCGAUUUGCAUGCCCUGCAUUUAGCCUUUUAUUAUCCCAAUCAUUGAUGAACUCUUCAGGCGCCAAUCUUUUCGUACCCAAUGCUGAAAAAGAAAAAAGGAAUAGGUUAGUAAGCUUCAAAAUAAAUCAUUAUGCAGGAUGGUGGCAAGAACUUGUAGUAAUAUGUGAAUAAAUAAGCUAACUAACAAUAAGGGCUUGUUUGGUUCAAGGGUGGAAUUGAAAUGGAUAAUGGAAUGGGAAUGAAUUGGAAUGGUAAUUGGAAUGGCCCACUCCCCCAAGACGUUUAGUUUAUUUGUGGAUUGGGAAUUGGAAUGAGUUAUUCACAUUUCAUUGUUUGGUUCGUAUAAACUAAAAAAAUUAUAGAAUACUAUAAUACUAAUUUUACUCUCAAAUAUAAAUUUAUAUUUUUUAAAAUUUAUGAAAAAUAUAAUACUAUUCUCUAAUAAGUUUUCCAAAAAAAAUAUCAAAUUUAUUUUUAAAAUUUUUUAUUGAUGUGGGUUAGGAAUAGUGUUUUGAGAAAGGCUUUUUUUUCUUGAUGAGAAAGGGGUGAAGAGAAGGAGGGUGAGAUGGUCACAUAGGCUUCGAGAAGUUAGUGGGCUUCCGGAAUGAAAUCUCAAUCCGGGCUAGAAGACCGGAAUCAAGUUGAAGGCUAAUGGGCCAUUCUCAUUCCAGUCCGGAAUAGGAAUCCCAAACCGAUUCAUGCGAACCAAACAAAAUUAACCGGAUUUGAUCAAACCGAUUCCCAUUCCAUACCCAAAAUGGAUGAACCAAACAAGCCCUAAGAAUUAACUAGCAAUAUGUUCGUGAAUAUAUAUAUAUAUAUCAUCCUCUAGUUACAUGUAAAAGAAACACUCCAACUGUUCUUCAUCAAAGAAAGCAAGGCUACACCAAUCACCAAUGCAUCAGAAAUACCGCAUAUUUCUAUUCAUUCCAUAAAUUACUAGGAUCUGCCAGCACUAAUUUAUAGAAAUCAUCUAAGAAUACUAUAAAAUAAAGUCCACUAGGAUAAGCAGUGAGUCAAUAACAUAUCACUAGAAAAGAAAAGGUUAUGAUGACAACAGAAUAUUAGAAAUCUGCUCAAGCACAUGUGUACUGCCUUUUGAAGUGACUUUGGAGCAUAUGAAAGAUGAUAAAAAUCACCCCAUAUGUUCAAUGAAAAUAAAAUAACAUAGCAUAAAUGUUCAAUAGAUUACAAUAUAUGUUCAAUUGAUUAUGAUAUAUGAUGAAACAAAAUGCUUUCCACGGAGCAGGCCAGUAUAUAAGACUCACACAACUGCUACAACAAAAGAAGUGUCAUCUGUGAGCAUUCACAGCACCUAGAGAGGUUGCUCCUAUGGUCUUAAAAGCUUUGUAUAGUUUAUUACAAGGUCUUCAAUUUCGCCUCGACCAUCAAAGCAAUCAGCAAUCCGUUGUCGGAUUAGUUUACAAGUCACAAUCUUAAAACAGCUAGCUAGAUCAAGAUCUUUUCAUGAAUCUCACCCAAAAGACCCAAAAACAAUUUCAAGCGUGCAGUAAGAACAAAGCAUUCAAGUGAGAUCAGCUGCACAGGAAUCAGGCAGAAGCAAAAUGGGAACAAAAUCAGCAGUUCCAAAUAAGAACCUCAAAGCAGAAAAUUACACAGCGAACCAGAAGUGGAAGAAGUUAGAUGACAUAUAUUACUUGGAAAAAUAUCUGAAGCCAUUGUAUUCAUUGUCGUAGAGGGUGCAGCAGAUGGUAUAGGCGCAUUGCAUUCUUUACACUGCCCAAAGAGAAUAUGAAUCAGGAUAUAUGACCAACAUUAUUUGAAGAUAAGAAGAUUAAUGUUUGUUAACUAAAAGGAAAAUGAUAAUGUAGUUUAGGCUUCUUAACAUCUUACCCUAGCUAACUCCUACAUAUCCAAGUGUUAAGCUCUCAAAGGUAGAGCCCUCCAGACAGAAGUACAAGGUGUAGGCACAUGCAUGCAUGCUAUGUGAACCGAUUUUCAGAUACUAAGACUCUUAUUCGAAUACAGACCAGAUAUACACAAUAACGGUAGCUUUCCUUGUUCAUUAAUUAGAAAUAACCCAAGUAAAUGCUAAGAAUAAAGAAAGUACAUCACACUUACUAUGUAGGAACUUAUUCCACAUUAGUCCUUGAAUUCAUUAAGUGAGAAAUACUCAUUCUGUAAAGUUCACCAUGGUUCACUAUAGUAAUUAAUGCUUCAGUCUACUUGGCCUUAUUUUCUUCUAAUAAUUAGCUGAGAUGCCAACAUAUAGGACUGAUUAGACAAUUUUAAGUUUUUUGUAAAGUUCUAACUUGUAAAUAUCAAACCGGUAAGGUCCUAUAUAUUAAAAUUAGAUUAGCCUCUUUAGUCCAAUCACACAACAAAAUUGACAGUGUUUUCUGGAAUGGAGUAAAUAUUAUAACACUCCAUAUACUGCAAACCAAAAAAGUUGAUUGUAAUCUUAUUAUGUCCAUAAUUCUCUAUCUUCUUCUUUUUGUAUUACUAAAAUGCGAAAAAAUAAAAAAAAAAAAAAAGAUAAAUAAAUGAAGAGAAACCACCUCAGUGCGCGAUGAAUAGUUAUGGAAACCGCAUUUGCAUAUCCAAUCACCGUCACGCCAGCCGUUCAGAACCGUAGGAAGUUGAUUUCUGUUACCAGAAGAGGAAAACCCCGCACUACUGCUACUUCCACUGAAUGUCCAAUCAGGAGUAGAUUGAAGCCCAUAUCUACUAAACCCGCCAUACAACCAAUUAGGGUUUUGUUGUAGAAGUGACUGCUGUAGAGCCAAGUAAUUCAUCUUCAACCCUGCUAAUUCCUGUGCUGAUCUGGCAAAAUAAUGUGCAUAAUUUGCUGGCAGAGAUAAUCCAUGCAUUGCAAUUGCUGGGAGAGCCGACUCCUCCUUUGGCUGGCCACACUUUUUGCACUCCUUUCUGGACGCAUAAUUGUUGUUACUGCAACCUAUACAUCCCAACCAAAUAUGCAACCACCGAAGUAAUACGCAACACCAACCAGUUAUUCCAAAACAUAACACACACACGCACACACACACGCACCCAAGUGCGCAUGCGCACACACUCAAUUCAACUUGUUCAAAUAUUGUAAAGCAGAACAGACACUCUAUUCAACUUGUUCAAAUAGUGUAAUGCAGCUUCUAAGCCUGCAUAUCUAUUAGGUUUAUUGCAUAUAUAAAACAGCUAAUAUGCAAAACUGUGCAAAUACCCAGCGAAGUUGGUAUUUGCAUGCAAAACUGUGCAAAUACGCAGCGAAGUUGUUAAAACUUUGCUUAUUUCGCACAUACACAUGCCAGGGGUAUAUACGCACAUAAGGUUUUUGCCCAUAAACCCUGGCAGGGUUAUUAGUGACGAUAAAUAAAUUAAAUGAACAAAAUGUCAGGGGCACCAAUGAUAAUUAAUGCAAGCAACUGUGGAAGCCAAACUGUUCAAAAAAAGGUAUCAUAAACUAGAAAGUACAAAUGAUAUAGAGCAAUGGAAAAUGUGAAUACUGCCUAUAUGUACAUAGGCUAUCGUAUAAGGCACUACCGCUAUAAACUAUAAUAUGAAUAUUUGUUGAAGGUGCAGAAAGAACAAGCUAUCUUGGUCAACUAGCAUGUUAAAAUUAUCAAUGUAUAUUGGCUCAGAUUAUCCUUUUUAAUGCAGUUACCUUCCUCCUAUAUUACUUUCGAAACUGGAAAAUUUAUUUUACGCAGUUAUAUUCUAGCAUAAAGAACUACAAAAUUUGAUAUGAAACUAGUUUUCUGAAACACUUUGCUUAACCAAUCCUAUUGCAGCUUUUUGCUUUGAUUCUUUAUUAGUGUACAAAAUUGUGUUUAAAUUGAAGAUACUAUAAUUUAAUAUAUCAAAAGCAGUUCCUGUGAUUACCACGCAGUUGAGUGAAACUAUUAAAACUAUUCCCGGGUCAUAUCCUAUGAGAUUGAGCUAUUAGAAAAGACAAACGAAAUAAAGUAGAAUAUACAUAAGCCAUUUUGAAAUGCACCUUCAACUUUAUCUUCUGAGCUUGACAAACCCUUAACAUUUAGUCAUUUUAUUCGAUUCAUUUUCCUACAUUAGAUCAAAAUUUUGUUAAAAUUCACAGCUCCAUUAUCUGUAAGUCAUUAAUUGUUUGCACAAUUCAUAGUUCACCCUUUCAUGCAUAAAAAACAUUCAAAACAAUUAAAUUCAAAAAAAAUCAUUGUUAAAAUAAACAAAUCCUCAAUAUAAUUGAUAGAUGUAAUUUAAACAAAAAUAAUCAAAAGAAAAAUAAGUCGAGGGCCUAGUUCCAAAUUUGAGGGUGUCCCAUACAUUUCCUUCAGAUUUUCGUUAUGGAACAGUGAAAAGCAAGCGUGGUUUCGAAUCUUUCGAUCAGAAACAAAACUUCUAGGGCAUCAAGCACGUCAAAACCAACAUCGACACGAAUUCUUCACAAUCGAAGGUAAACAAAGCGUCAAUACGAUCGAGAUCACAAAAUCUCACCAUUCUUUCAAAACCUAAACCCUCCGACGAAACAUCUAGGGCACAAAACACGUCAAAACCAACAUCGAUACGCAUUUUCCACGAUCAAAAGCAACGAUUAGAGUUUCGAAGAGAAUACUGGGGUUAGGGUUAGGGUUUUGAGAUUACCGGCGCAGAUCCAGUCGCCGAUGCGGGGUAGCCACUUGGAGUCGCGGGGGGUGUGGGCGUCGACGAGAAGGCGCGGCUGCUUGCAGCGGUUGCAGAGGGAGCGGAAGGCGUAGUUGCGGUUGCCGCACCCCCCACAGUCCCAGUCCCCCUCCCGCCCCAACCCUCCCUCCCCCGCCAUCUCCACCUCCUCUGCACCCCUUCCCCCGCGGCCGAAGCGGACGAUGCCGCUUCUGCUUCCGCUUCUGCGAGAAGCGGCUUUUGUGCUUCUCGAUCAAACCCUAGGCUCUGAGAGAGAGAGAGAGAGAGAGAGAGAGAGAGAGAGAGAGAGAGGGAAGAGGGGGAGGAGAGGAGCCGUGGAGGGGCAAGGGGGAGAGAGAGAGAGAGAGAGAGAGAGAGAGGAACCCUUACAUGCAUAUAAAGCAACCGCAGGUGGAGGGGAGGGAACUAUUCGGGAAGUAUAUUCUCGCUCGGGCUUUGUCGGAUACGGUUGUGGGAGAAGAGAGAGAGAGAGAGAGAGAGGUGUGAUUACUCGCGGAGGGAGUUUAAAGAGACAACUACAGCUAAAUGGUUCCACCCAGCCUAUAAAUAAAUAAGUAAAUUUUCCCAAAAAUCAAACUAAUAAAUAUUUUUAUUAAUUUUAUUUAAAAUAAUAUGAAAAAAAAUAAAUUUAGUGAUAAUCACGUCAAGUGGAAUCUAAUUGUACAAAUAUCAAGUUUUGUUGUAUUGGUUUUACAUUGUCUUUCUUUUAUCACUCUUAUACAUAACUGAGUGAUUGUUACUUUAUAAAAAAGAAAAGUUGAAUAACUAAUUUGGCUAAAACUGAUAAAGUUGAAAAUAGUUGUAAUCAACAAAAAUUCCAUACUUCAUAAAACAUUCACCAGCAAUUCAAUAACAAAAGCAUUAACAUAAAACACUGAAAAUACCCAAAAAAAGGGAAAAAAAUGUCUGGUAUUAUUUACAAUUUUAUUAUUUUUAAGAUAACAAAAGUAAAAACAUGGCAAGUAACUCAUUUGACAAGUACUCAAACUAUGUUUAAUAAUAAUCUUCAUAGUUUUCUUAUAUUUUGCUACCCAACUGAGGCCCAGUGGGCUCCGAACGAUUGCAAAUUAUGGCCCAAAAUCUCAAAUCAAGGCCCAAAGCCUACUCACCGGGCCGGGCUCGAUAUAACAGGAGUAGACACAUUUAAUCAACAACAAAUUAAGCUGUGAUUUCACACAAAUAAUAAUAAUAGUAGAUAGUAGAUAAAGUUGAUUUGAAAAAAUAAAGUAAAAUAAAACUCAAUCAGAAAUAUAACAGCAUCUAAUCUGAACUUUAAUUAUGCUAUGCUAAUCUUACAUGCAAAAUUACAGGAAUGUAACUGAAAUUAAAUGGAGAGAAACUUUUACUAUAAUUAUCAAAAAUUAUAGUAAAAGUUUCCACCCAAUUAAUAAGUGAUAGUGGAUCAGAAAGUUGGCGUGAGUGAGAUGCAAUUAAACAAUAUCUUAAAAGAAAAGAAUUAAGAUUUUUUUUUCUUGAAAAAAACUUGUAGAAUAUUAAACUAAUUAUAUGUCAUAUAGAAAAGGUCGUGCAUGCGUGUGCCUCUAUCCAUAAUGCAAACAUUUUACUAUAAUGAAUACUUAUUGUAAUUAUAAUUAAUUCUCUCAGCCAACGAUCUCUCUGAAACUUAAAGUUGAAGGGAUCGAUAAAUGUAUGAUCGAUAUGAAUAAGUAAAUUAUUAUUGAAAGCGACGAGAUAUAUUAAAGUUAGAUUCAAAUUGUCAAUAGCAAAGAUACAAAAUAU